GAAGGUAGAACUCAGUGGUAGAGUGGAUGCUUAGCAGGCACAAGGUCCUGAGUUCAAUACCCAGUAUCUCCA
Molecule: transfer RNA, 72 nt
Filed under: Camelus bactrianus (Bactrian camel)
Lineage: Eukaryota; Metazoa; Chordata; Mammalia; Artiodactyla; Camelidae
Also listed under: 2 other names
Rfam family: tRNA
About the family: Transfer RNA (tRNA) molecules are approximately 80 nucleotides in length. Their secondary structure includes four short double-helical elements and three loops (D, anti-codon, and T loops).
Source: Rfam by way of RNAcentral